Molecule: transfer RNA, 66 nt
Filed under: Oncocephalus breviscutum
Lineage: Eukaryota; Metazoa; Arthropoda; Insecta; Hemiptera; Reduviidae
Description: tRNA-Asn
Source: RNAcentral
UUAAUCGAAGCCAAAAAGAGGCAUUUCAUUGUUAAUGAAAUAAAUGAUUUAUAAAAUCCGAUUAAA